This 406-nucleotide ribosomal RNA is filed under the name uncultured bacterium. RNAcentral's name for it is "bacterial SSU rRNA". It matches the Rfam family "Bacterial small subunit ribosomal RNA", at positions 356 to 773 of the family's 1533-position model. The record is from RNAcentral.
AAGGAAUUUUCGGCAAUGGGGGCAACCCUGACCGAGCAACGCCGCGUGGGGGAUGAAGGUUUUCGGAUUGUAAACCCCUUUUCAGUGGGAAGACGAAAAAGAGGACGGUACCACUGGAAUAAGCAUCGGCUAACUACGUGCCAGCAGCCGCGGUAAUACGUAGGAUGCAAGCGUUGUCCGGAAUUAUUGGGCGUAAAGAGCGCGCAGGCGGCCAUUCAAGUCAGAUGUGAAAGACCCCGGCUUAACCGGGGCUAGUCGUCUGAAACUGAAUAGCUAGAGUGGCAGAGAGGGAAGCGGAAUUCCCGGUGUAGUGGUGAAAUGCGUAGAUAUCGGGAGGAACACCAGAGGCGAAGGCGGCUUUCUGGCUGCUAACUGACGCUGAGGCGCGAAGGCUGGGGUAGCGAAC